ACUCCUACGGGAGGCAGCAGUGGGGAAUAUUGCACAAUGGGGAAAGGCCCAUCGAUGCAGCCAUGCCGCGCUGUGUGAAGAAGGCCAAUUCGGGCUUGGUUAAAGACACUUUUCAGUAGGGAGGAAGGUAGUGUAGUUUAACACCUGCAUUAUUUGACGUUACCUACAGAAGAAGCACCGGCUAACUCCGUGCCAGCAGCCGCGGUAAUACGGAGGGUGCGAGCGUUAAUCGGAAUUACUGGGCGUAAAGCGCAUGCAGGCGGCCUGUUAAGUCAGAUGUGAAAGCCCGGGGCUUAAGCCU
RNAcentral lists this ribosomal RNA (301 nucleotides) under uncultured bacterium. Its description in RNAcentral is "bacterial SSU rRNA". It matches the Rfam family "Bacterial small subunit ribosomal RNA", at positions 335 to 616 of the family's 1533-position model. The record is from RNAcentral.